GAUGAAGAACACACCAAAAGAGGACAAAAUAUGAAAAUUAAAGAUAAUACACUGUGAUGUAGAUAUACCACCUCUCUUCCUGGCAAGGCAAAGAGAUAAAGAAAGAGACUGUUGCAGGGUACAGCACAGAGGCUGAC
Long non-coding RNA from Suricata suricatta (meerkat), 137 nucleotides. RefSeq lists it as uncharacterized. The record is from RefSeq and is a predicted model, not a curated record. The transcript is spliced from 3 exons. Lineage: Eukaryota; Metazoa; Chordata; Mammalia; Carnivora; Herpestidae.